UACGUAGGUGGCAAGCGUUGUCCGGAUUUACUGGGCGUAAAGGGCGUGCAGGCGGUUUGCUAAGUCUAGGGUGAAAGCUCCCGGCUCAACUGGGAGAGGUCCUUGGAUACUGACAGACUUGAGGGAGGCAGAGGAGAAUGGAAUUCCCGGUGUAGUGGUGAUAUGCGUAGAUAUCGGGAGGAACACCAGUGGCGAAGGCGGUUCUCUGGGCCUUACCUGACGCUGAGACGCGAAAGCGUGGGGAGCGAACCGG
RNAcentral lists this ribosomal RNA (253 nucleotides) under uncultured bacterium. Its description in RNAcentral is "partial 16S ribosomal RNA". It matches the Rfam family "Bacterial small subunit ribosomal RNA", at positions 524 to 776 of the family's 1533-position model. The record is from RNAcentral.